Long non-coding RNA from Acyrthosiphon pisum (pea aphid), 951 nucleotides. RefSeq lists it as uncharacterized. The record is from RefSeq and is a predicted model, not a curated record. The transcript has 3 exons. Lineage: Eukaryota; Metazoa; Arthropoda; Insecta; Hemiptera; Aphididae.
UAGACUUAUGCUUAACCCGAUUAUUGUUUAAAACUAUAGUUUUAUCAAUAGUAUAGUUUCACAAUGGUACGCUUAAGUUUUCUAUAUGUACAUAUAGUAUAAUCAUAUACUAUUGUCAACGUAAUAAUUAGUCUUAGUUCUUUUAUAUUAAAGAUUGGUAAUUUUAGUAUUUCAUUAUAUUGACUAUUGAUACAUACAUAAAUUAAAUUGAUUUUGUUUUAUUAAUUUAGGAUGGUUGUGCUGUACCAGGAUGCAUAUCAAAUACCGAUUUAGUAGAGGAUGAAAAUAUCAGCUUUUUCCAACCUUCAAUGGAAGAUUUACAUGCCUGGAUUUUAGCACUAGGAAUGCAGUUAACUGUAGAAAGUUGCUUAUGCAAGCUACACUUCAGACCUCAAGAUAUUUUAUACCAAAGAAUAAAGCUAAAUGGUUCAAUUCUAAGAAUAGCCAUCUAGAAACAAUGUACAAGAUUAUACAGAUUAUUGUUCUCCAUCUAUAAAUACUCCAUGUCAACUGAUAUCUGUUCAACCAUUGAAUAAAAGCUCAUACACAACUUGAGUAAUACUUGCUAUUUAACUUUAAAUAUUUCUGGAAUUCUAAAUAUUAUGAAACCAUACCGUUAAUUUAAUUCAUUAUUUUUAUUGUUUUUAGGUAUUUUUAAGUGUAUUUAUAAGUCAUAUGUAUAUUUGUAAAAAAAACUAUCAUUGUAAUCUUUUAUGUUAAUUUUAAUGAUACUACUUUUAGUGUUAUAACGAGGGGUUUGAGAACUGCCAGGAUUAGUAAAUACAUUCCAAGUUAUUAUUCUUAUUCUAAUUAAAUUUAUUUCAAACUGGAAUGGUACAAUUUGUGCAAACAAAAAAUUAUGUAUAUGUUUGUUAGGUUAUAUAGAAAAAUGACAACUUUAUAGCAAACUAUUUAUACCAUAUGAUGAACAAUAUAUAUUGUUAUGUUUUA